Long non-coding RNA from Olea europaea var. sylvestris, 2344 nucleotides. RefSeq lists it as uncharacterized. NCBI's taxonomy places the organism in Eukaryota, Viridiplantae, Streptophyta, Magnoliopsida, Lamiales, Oleaceae. The transcript has 3 exons. The record is from RefSeq and is a predicted model, not a curated record.
GAAUUCAGAAACAAAAUAGAAGUUGACGUACGAUGAUGGAUUCGUUAACCCAUCGACUUUCUCCGAGCAAAUGACCAAUACGCUAAAUAGAAGCAUAGAACCGCCACAAAAAUAGUAAUCGGAACGACUUGUUCAUGGCUUUCCCAAAUGUUUAUUGUAAAAUCCGAAAUCCCCAUUCUUCUCCUUGAUUUCACAAUGUCUGUGUUUUCUAUUGAGUAGCGGACAUAGAAUUCUGGAAUCAAAUACUCAGUAGCACUGUGUGAGAAACAAAAGGAAGCAGAGAUCUUCCAUGCUGUAGUGGCGAUUAAACAGUGGCACCUGGCACAUAAUAUCCGCCUUGAAGAUACGGGUCGAAUGGAGCCCAACUGUAGGACAACAUCGCCCUCACAGCAUCCGCUCUUACGAUUAACUGGGCCUGAUUCUAUGGGCUUACCUCCAACCCAAAUGGAUCUGAAAUAUAAUCACAGCAUAGCAACCCAAAAUUAUAUAAAUGUUCAUCUGCAGCAACUCAAGGAUCAUCUCAAUUUCUCGAAAUAAAUUGAAUUCGUGAAAUAGUUUCACUCAGAUUAUUUUGGUGAAGAGAACAAACAAUUACAGAUGGUAUCGUGCUUCCCAUCAACGCCAAAAAAGCUGGCGAUAACAGUUGCAUACUUCAUUGGUGGAGCCUCGUUGUUUGCAUUUGGUUUGCAUCUUUCACAUGUAAAUGCUGCUCCUCAACAAGCUCGGAUCAAAGCUCGGAACGACUUUGUUAGAGAGAGAUUGAGAAAGAAAUACGGGGACACAAGUGUGCAGCCUAAAUGAGCAUCACGGUAUACCAUGCACUAACAAGUCUCAAGAUUUACGGGGGUCUUAGUUUGACUCGUGUUAUCAUGUUUGGUUAAUCUUAGAAAGAUUACUUUUAAGUAACUUAAAAGUAAGUUAUCCAAAGAUAUCUGCUAAAAAAGAGUUUUUUUUUUUUUUUUUUUUUUUUUUUUUUUUUUUAAAGCUUAAUCAAACAUGCUUUAACAUGUAGAGAUUUUGAAAUUAUAUUAGCAGGGUGUACUUUUUUCUCCUGAUAUUUGCAUCAUGUUUAACUUGUUUAUAAAUAGUUUAAACUGGUAGAAAUGAGUCACAAGUGGGUAGUGCUCGUAAGUCCCUUGAAAUGUGCGGAUAAAAAGAGGCUUGAACGUUUUAUAAACAUAAGCCAAACAGAGGCUAAAUUUAAUUUAAUCUCAUAGCUUACUCCGACAGUGAUUUUCUCACGUGAUCCCUCAUUCAUGUCUCUUAACUUCUGAUUUCUUGCAUGUUGUGGUUGAUUUGUGGGGCGAAUUCAACUACUAACCUGAAUAUGUUACAAGUAGAACCUGCGCUUGUUGCAUUUUACUUCAGUUCAGUGAUGUGUUUCAAAGUUGAAUGCAAAGAGGCUGGGCAAUUUAAUGACCCUUCAAAUAUUCAAUUCUCAGUCCAUCUCCAAGACAGCUGGUCAUUCACUGAUUUAAAUGCAUUUGUCCCAAUAAUUCUUAGGAGUCGAAAUUAAUAUUAACAAUAGAUUUUUACUAUUUGGAACAGUCAUGUAAUUCUCAUUGUACAUUCGCGUAUGCUAAAUAUCUCCUCGUGUUCUUGUUAUUUAGUUGUUUUUGGCAGGAUGAAAUUAUGAGCGUCUAGACAGUUUAUAAGAGUGAGUUGGUGGUUUUUUUUACCGGCUAUAGGGACUACAUUGUGUUGGAGUGGGCUCGUUUUUAGGUAUAACGUAUCUUAUUUUAGUUUGUGAGGUCGAAGAAAGAAGAUUAGCUCAUGGAUUUCCUACUACCAUACAAGAUCCACGCCGUGAAAGUUGAUGAUGCAAAUGAGUGGAAUGCUAUUGGUUCGCAACGAAUAGUUGGAGCUCAUAAAUGACUCUCCUACGCUGAUCAGGACAGUCCCCUACCUUGACCUUCGUCUCUGAUAGUGUUACAGUUGAUAUUUCGGGAAGUUGGGAGCUCGAUUUGGAAAUAAUUUGUUUCCAAUGAAUGUAAACUCUAGUAGGAUCUUUCCUCACAACGGGACUCGUGCCAUCGCAAGUUCUUUGCCAUAAAUGAAGAACUUGCAAACAUAAUGAUUACACCAUGACAAUCUCGACUCUUUAAACCAUAAUUCAUUUGUGCUAUCUAUUAAAUUGUGCGAUUGUUAACAUGCAUUUUCUACCACAUUAUCCACUGCAAUUCGCUGAAGAUGAACUUCCAACAAAAUUUCUUAUAAUCAGCCAUAUUUUGACCAUUUUCACCAGGGAUGGGAAGUGACAUUAGGAUAACAGCAGCUGUAUUGUAAUGAGAAACGGAAGAAAAAUAUGUCAUUGGUAGAAAAUUCAUUACAUAACAGCUCAAAA